This 460-nucleotide ribosomal RNA is filed under the name uncultured bacterium. RNAcentral describes it as "partial 16S ribosomal RNA". It matches the Rfam family "Bacterial small subunit ribosomal RNA", at positions 338 to 795 of the family's 1533-position model. The record is from RNAcentral.
CCUACGGGAGGCAGCAGUGAGGAAUAUUGGUCAAUGGACGAGAGUCUGAACCAGCCAAGUAGCGUGAAGGAUGACUGCCCUAUGGGUUGUAAACUUCUUUUAUAUGGGAAUAAAAUGUUCCACGUGUGGGAUUUUGUAUGUACCAUAUGAAUAAGGAUCGGCUAACUCCGUGCCAGCAGCCGCGGUAAUACGGAGGAUCCGAGCGUUAUCCGGAUUUAUUGGGUUUAAAGGGAGCGUAGGUGGAUUGGUAAGUCAGUUGUGAAAGUUUGCGGCUCAACCGGAAAAUUGCAGUUGAAACUGGCAGUCUUGAGUACACUGGAGGUAGGCGGAAUUCGUGGUGUAGCGGUGAAAUGCUUAGAUAUCACGAAGAACUCCGAUUGCGAAGGCAGCUCACUGGACUGCAACUGACACUGAGGCUCGAAAGUGUGGGUAUCGAACAGGAUUAGAUACCCUAGUAGGC